CUACGGGAUGCACCAGUGAGGAAUAUUGCACAAUGGGGGGAACCCUGAUGCAGCAACGCCGCGUGGAGGAUGACGCAUUUCGGUGUGUAAACUCCUUUUAUAUGUCAAGAAAAUGACGGUAGCAUAUGAAUAAGCACCGGCUAACUCCGUGCCAGCAGCCGCGGUAAUACGGAGGGGUGCAAGCGUUACUCGGAAUCACUGGGCGUAAAGGACGCGUAGGCGGGUUGGAAAGUCAGGUGUGAAAUCCUACAGCUUAACUGUAGAACUGCACUUGAAACUUCUAAUCUAGAGUAUGGGAGGGGGAGAUGGAAUUAGUGGUGUAGGGGUAAAAUCCGUAGAUAUCACUAGGAAUACCUAAAGCGAAGGCGAUCUCCUGGAACAUUACUGACGCUAAGGCGUGAAAGCAUGGGGAGCAAACAGGAUUAGAUACCCCAGUAGUC
RNAcentral lists this ribosomal RNA (440 nucleotides) under uncultured bacterium. RNAcentral describes it as "partial 16S ribosomal RNA". It matches the Rfam family "Bacterial small subunit ribosomal RNA", at positions 339 to 795 of the family's 1533-position model. The record is from RNAcentral.